Camelus dromedarius (Arabian camel) is the source of this 163-nucleotide small nuclear RNA. Its record names the gene U1. It matches the Rfam family "U1 spliceosomal RNA". From Rfam's summary of the family: U1 is a small nuclear RNA (snRNA) component of the spliceosome (involved in pre-mRNA splicing). The record is from Ensembl. NCBI's taxonomy places the organism in Eukaryota, Metazoa, Chordata, Mammalia, Artiodactyla, Camelidae.
AUACUUACCUGGCAGGGUAGAUGCCUGAUCACGAAGGUGGUUAUCCCAGGGUGAGGCUCAUCCAUUGCACUCUGGAUGUGCUAACCCCUGCUAUUUCCUCAAAUGUGGGGAACUCUACUGCAUGAUUUGUGGUAGUGCGGGACUGUGUUUGAGCUUUCCCCUG